RNAcentral lists this ribosomal RNA (402 nucleotides) under uncultured Alphaproteobacteria bacterium. RNAcentral describes it as "partial 16S ribosomal RNA". It matches the Rfam family "Bacterial small subunit ribosomal RNA", at positions 355 to 774 of the family's 1533-position model. Lineage: Bacteria; Pseudomonadati; Pseudomonadota; Alphaproteobacteria. The record is from RNAcentral.
UGGGGAAUCUUGGACAAUGGGGGAAACCCUGAUCCAGCCAUGCCGCGUGAGUGAAGAAGGCCUUAGGGUUGUAAAGCUCUUUCGGCGGGGACGAUAAUGACGGUACCCGCAGAAGAAGCCCCGGCUAACUCCGUGCCAGCAGCCGCGGUAAUACGGAGGGGGCUAGCGUUGUUCGGAAUUACUGGGCGUAAAGCGCACGUAGGCGGAUUGUUAAGUCGGGGGUGAAAUCCUGGGGCUCAACCUCAGAAUUGCCUUCGAUACUGGCAGUCUUGAGUACGGGAGAGGUGAGUGGAAUUCCCAGUGUAGAGGUGAAAUUCGUAGAUAUUGGGAAGAACACCAGUGGCGAAGGCGGCUCACUGGCCCGUAACUGACGCUGAGGUGCGAAAGCGUGGGGAGCAAACA